GACCAGUGAGUGUUUCAUCUCUCCAGAGGCAUCCCAGGAUAGAGACAGGCAGAUCCAGAGAACACCUUCCCUUGGUCACCUUAGAGAUACAGAAUGCCAGUUCCAAGAGGCCUUUUCUUUGCCCAGAUGUGGGGUCUCUGCAUCUUCCAUUCUAGGAAAUGAGACCCAGUUCUCUGCCUCUGACACCAAGUAUCACAGAUCAAACCAGCUGCAUCUUGAACAAAUGGCCAUGAAAGAUGGAGGUUUCAGCCUGACUUAUUUGACUAUUCACCAUCUCUUUAAUAACACACCAGGUGGAACCAAACACACCCAUCCAAAAAGAUCUGUGUAUACCUAUGUUGAUAGCAGUACAAUUCAUAACAGCUAAAACCUGGAAGCAAGCCGGGUGUCCAACAACAGAUGAGUGGCUGAGAAUCCCAGGAAAAACCAUCUAGACCUCUGCACACUUUGACAUCGCCCACUAGACGGCAUGACUACAGGGGCACAUCCCCGAAACCCAUAAUAUGACCUGACACGAUCUGAAGAACCUGAUUCACAGACUCCAAAGAACAGAACUUUCUUACUGCAUGUCUGCCCUUCCUGCUUCUGCUUUGCCUGUCACGUUUUGGCAGUUCCAGCUCACUUUCUACAGAAAAGUGGAAUUCCAGUGGCUGACCUUCCCCAUGGAGAUAGACAUGCAGUGUUUCAUCCCUUGGCAUUUCUCCCCCUAGUCACCUACUUUGGACUGAGACUUCUAUUGGACUUGCUAGUA
Molecule: long non-coding RNA, 751 nt
Organism: Erinaceus europaeus (western European hedgehog)
Lineage: Eukaryota; Metazoa; Chordata; Mammalia; Eulipotyphla; Erinaceidae
Exons: 3
Source: RefSeq, a predicted model, not a curated record